UUUCCAGUUUUAAAAUAAUAAAUUUUUAUGUAAUAUAUUAAAUAAAGUUUACUGUGUGUCUGUUCAUAUUUUAUGUUAAGGAAGAUAUUAUAAAUACUAUACAGGCAGUCUGCAACUUGUGUAGGUUGAUCGAUCUACAAAAUCUUAUAUAAAUUGAAUGUUCAUAUGUCAGAACAUAUCAACAUCAUUUCUCCAACCUACACUGCCAAACAGACUUACACAGAUCAGAAACCAACUGGGAUUAUUGCAAAAAUGGUAAUUAGGGCUAAAGAAAGAAAUGUCUUACUAGUUCUCUCAGAACAUGUAAAAAUGUAUAAACUAUAUGCAGAUGACAUACUAGUGAUAACAGAAGAGAGUAAAUAUAUAAUAAACUCCGAACAUAUUUACUGCUACUCCCUAUCAUCAAGUUAUUCAAUGAAGACGCUAAAGCACUUCUUGCAGUAUGGGGAAACUUUU
Molecule: long non-coding RNA, 456 nt
Filed under: Androctonus crassicauda
Lineage: Eukaryota; Metazoa; Arthropoda; Arachnida; Scorpiones; Buthidae
Source: RNAcentral